CCCCCCGAGGGCCUCCCUGAUCCAGCAGCUUUCACGCCAGCAAGGGCUGCUUCUGCUGAUUCCCAGGCAGGCUUUCAUGCAUUUCCCACCCAGAUUUCUAAUUCCACGCCUCGGGGCUCCACACACAAAUGAUUUUCCCUCUUUUCUACGAUGGCGGCUCGGAUACUGGAAGAUGUCUCCGGGCCGCCCUGUGAGUCUCCUUCUGCGCCCCAGCGUGUCUGCGGGCAGGUGACAGCCGUGUGAGGUUCGCCCCUCGGACCUGGCCGGCCCCAACAUCCGGGCACCUUCUGGAGUGUCCUCAUGCCUCAGGAUCUAAGGGUACCCAGAAAGUUGUCACUGGAGGACAUGUGAGUGUCCCCCAUGCAGGAUGUGGCCUCCAGGGAUGAAACACAAGUUUCCUGAGGGAAAGGAGCCCAGAGACCCGGUGGCCUACAGAUGCGGAGGCUCGGGGGUGGACGGGCCCCCCGUGUCCCUCCCAGUGAACCCAGGGCCCCCUGCACUGUUUCUGAAGGCACGCGUCGCUUCUGCGAGGCUGGCAGCAGAUUCGCCCGCCCUGAAUGAUGACUUCUGACUCUCCAUCCGUCACAGAGCAGAGCACGUGGGGAGAUCCGUGUGCGCUCCCCCGGCGGUGAGCGGCGGCCGAGGACCCGAUUCGUCUCCCCUGCUUUUCUCCCGUGUAACGCACGUUCACAAACAACAUACUUGCUUGAGUUAUUUAUGCAAAGCAGCAUUAGUACAUGGUUUUGGCCUCUUGUU
This is a long non-coding RNA of Lynx canadensis (Canada lynx), 756 nucleotides long. RefSeq lists it as uncharacterized. Lineage: Eukaryota; Metazoa; Chordata; Mammalia; Carnivora; Felidae. The transcript has 2 exons. The record is from RefSeq and is a predicted model, not a curated record.